GUUCCUUUAGGCUUCUACAUUACCCUCCUCUCUCCAGCUUCGCGCGCCUAGCCUCCGGCCUUCCCCAGCCAAUCAGCUGCUCGUUCAGCUCUACGUGUGGCGUCACACGUAGCGGUCAAGAUGGCGUCGGUAAUUGGAGCUGAGCUUCGACCUUUUUACUCUAGCGAGGUUAGGGAUGAGAAGAACACAGCUUGGUCUCAGAUGCACGGCUGAGGAUUAAGAUCAGGUUGCUUAGACGCUUGGGAGUAGUCAUCAGCGUCUUCCAGCCACCCAAACGACAACUCAAGAGAGGUUAUCCACUACGGAGAGAGAGAAGACCUCACAGUAGCCCGUACACCCUUCUCGGAGUUGCAAGUCGAGGAAAGGAAUCCGAGCGGUCUCGGCUUGGGGUUACGCCAUGUACAAGUAGGAAAGGAAUAGUGUCACAUAACACCUCUGCACGAGAUUAAAAAGGAAAAAAAAGAUAUCCUGUGAUAAACCAUGUAAAGUUCCUAGCUUGGUGAUUGGUACAGGGCAGACUAUUAGUGGGGCUCUGUCUCCUAAUGAGGUCUUGCACUUGGGCAUGCUGGGUAGGCAUGUAAGGACAGAGCCUGAUAUAUGAGAGGUGAGAGAGGAUGGAUAUCAGCUCCUGGGCCUAAAGGAGCCCUGUGUGGUAUCCUGUUGGGGUUCCUCAGCUGCAAGACAUCGGAAUUUGCCACUGCAGACUCAACUCAUGCCUGCUGUGCGCCUGCUGGCUGGCACAUAUACAGCCUGAAGACAUCUGCUGUUGACCUCCUCCCCCAAUGUGGACUGCACCUCCAGCCAUUCCCCAGAGCUGAGACCUUCGAGAGAUGCCCUGAGUUUACACCUUUAGCCCUGCAGCCGGUUUCCCUUUGACAUCCUCCUAGACUUUGCUCGGACACUUCCUGACUCCUCCCUAAUUCCUUAUGUUAUUCAAAUGUCGUUGUAACCAGAGAUUCAGUAUGUUCUCUUGUAUAUAAUUGCUGAACCCCCCAA
This is a long non-coding RNA of Mastomys coucha (southern multimammate mouse), 996 nucleotides long. RefSeq lists it as uncharacterized. The record is from RefSeq and is a predicted model, not a curated record. Lineage: Eukaryota; Metazoa; Chordata; Mammalia; Rodentia; Muridae. The transcript is spliced from 3 exons.